Molecule: ribosomal RNA, 512 nt
Filed under: uncultured bacterium
Lineage: Bacteria
Description: partial 16S ribosomal RNA
Rfam family: Bacterial small subunit ribosomal RNA
Source: RNAcentral
GACGAACGCUGGCGGCGUGCUUAACACAUGCAAGUCGAACGAAAAGAGGGAAAGAGCUUGCUCUUUCCGGAAUUGAGUGGCAAACGGGUGAGUAACACGUAAACAACCUGCCUUCAGGAUGGGGACAACAGACGGAAACGACUGCUAAUACCGAAUAAGUUCCAAGGGCCGCAUGGCCCAUGGAAGAGAAGGUGGCCUCUACCUGUAAGCUAUCGCCUGAAGAGGGGUUUGCGUCUGAUUAGCUGGUUGGAGGGGUAACGGCCCACCAAGGCGACGAUCAGUAGCCGGUCUGAGAGGAUGAACGGCCACACUGGAACUGAGACACGGUCCAGACUCCUACGGGAUGCAGCAGUGGGGAAUCUUCCGCAAUGGGCGAAAGCCUGACGGAGCAACGCCGCGUGAGUGAUGACGGCCUUCGGGUUGUAAAACUCUGUGAUCCGGGACGAAAAGGCAGAGUGCGAAGAACAAACUGCAUUGACGGUACCGGAAAAGCAAGCCACGGCUAACUACGU